Molecule: ribosomal RNA, 790 nt
Filed under: Escherichia coli
Lineage: Bacteria; Pseudomonadati; Pseudomonadota; Gammaproteobacteria; Enterobacterales; Enterobacteriaceae
Description: partial 23S ribosomal RNA
Rfam family: Bacterial large subunit ribosomal RNA
Source: RNAcentral
CGAAUACCGGAGAAUGUUAUCACGGGAGACACACGGCGGGUGCUAACGUCCGUCGUGAAGAGGGAAACAACCCAGACCGCCAGCUAAGGUCCCAAAGUCAUGGUUAAGUGGGAAACGAUGUGGGAAGGCCCAGACAGCCAGGAUGUUGGCUUAGAAGCAGCCAUCAUUUAAAGAAAGCGUAAUAGCUCACUGGUCGAGUCGGCCUGCGCGGAAGAUGUAACGGGGCUAAACCAUGCACCGAAGCUGCGGCAGCGACGCUUAUGCGUUGUUGGGUAGGGGAGCGUUCUGUAAGCCUGUGAAGGUGUACUGUGAGGUAUGCUGGAGGUAUCAGAAGUGCGAAUGCUGACAUAAGUAACGAUAAAGCGGGUGAAAAGCCCGCUCGCCGGAAGACCAAGGGUUCCUGUCCAACGUUAAUCGGGGCAGGGUGAGUCGACCCCUAAGGCGAGGCCGAAAGGCGUAGUCGAUGGGAAACAGGUUAAUAUUCCUGUACUUGGUGUUACUGCGAAGGGGGGACGGAGAAGGCUAUGUUGGCCGGGCGACGGUUGUCCCGGUUUAAGCGUGUAGGCUGGUUUUCCAGGCAAAUCCGGAAAAUCAAGGCUGAGGCGUGAUGACGAGGCACUACGGUGCUGAAGCAACAAAUGCCCUGCUUCCAGGAAAAGCCUCUAAGCAUCAGGUAACAUCAAAUCGUACCCCAAACCGACACAGGUGGUCAGGUAGAGAAUACCAAGGCGCUUGAGAGAACUCGGGUGAAGGAACUAGGCAAAAUGGUGCCGUAACUUCGGGAGAAGGC